This 114-nucleotide ribosomal RNA is filed under the name Tupaia belangeri (northern tree shrew). Lineage: Eukaryota; Metazoa; Chordata; Mammalia; Scandentia; Tupaiidae. The record is from RNAcentral.
GUCUAUGGCCAUACCACCCUGAAUGUGCCCGAUUCCAUCUGACCCUAGCAGCUAAGCAGCCUUAGGCAUGGCUUGUACUGGGAGGGGAGAAAUGAACUGUACGUGCCAUGUUGU